This 1423-nucleotide long non-coding RNA is filed under the name Homo sapiens (human). RNAcentral describes it as "non-protein coding lnc-CADM2-3:10". The record is from RNAcentral. Lineage: Eukaryota; Metazoa; Chordata; Mammalia; Primates; Hominidae.
AUAAUCAAGGCAAUCUUAAGCAAAAAACAUAAAGCUGGAGGCAUCACACGUAAAACAAACAAACCCAUAAAAAAGUGGGCAAAGAACAUGUACAGACACUUUUCAAAAGAAGAGCUACAUACAGCCAACAAUCAUAUAAAAAAAGCCCAACAUCACUGAUCAUUAGAGAAAUGCAAAUCAAAACUACGAGAUACCAUCUCACACCAGAAUACCAUAAUUUCUGAUAAAAUGUUUGUUAAAUGAACUCAAUGCAUUGGACAAAAAUUUCCUGUUGCUUUUCUUUCAAAGUACAUAAAUUGAUGCUACUUUUUCCACCUUUCUCACAUUUAGUAGUGCGAUUGCUGGAUGAAAUGCUAGUUCUACUUCUAGUUAUUUAAGGAAUCUCCAUACUGUUUUCCAUAUGGGUGGUACUAGUUGAGCUACAAACAGACACUCUGCAAUAAGAUUACAGACACCACACCAUAGGGGUACAUAACCAGCUGGGAAAAGAAAGGAGGUGUUAGCAAACCCCAUCAUCUCAGCCCAAAAUCUCCUUAAAAUUGUCGGAUACACAAAAGUGAAAUGAUAAUAGAAAACUAAGCAUCAAAAGAAAGAAACAACUUCUGAAACUUUGUGCAAAUAAAUUUGAAAACAUAAAAAUAUAUGAGUUUCAUUUUAUGUAAAUAUAAAUAAACAAUUCCAGCAAAGAGAAAAUAACAUUGAAAAAUCAAAGACCAAAUUUAUAUAUGAAUAUCGAAGCAAAAAACCUUAGAUAAAUGAUACACAUAAUCAAUGAAAAGAACAAUAUAACUAAUUAGGGCAUCUUAGGAUAAUGUAAAAAACAAUACAAUAAAAUCCAUUAAGAUGAAUCAUAUUAUUGACCUAAAGAAAAUAACAACUAUAAGUAUUCUAUAUAUUUCAUAUGUAAUAAAAGCACUCACAAAAGAAUCCAUAAAUCUUUUAAAUAAAACAUUCUUAAUAAAAUAGCAAUAGAAUAAUGAUAUAUUUAAGUUUCUGGAUUGAUUAAAAAUGUUUUUCUCAUUAAAAUGAGAAAAAGAUGAAGAUGCUAUAAUUUGUCAAUAUUAAGCACUAAUAUUAAACAACAGUAGGAAAUAGCUGAUAUAAGCAGAUGAGAGAAAUACAUAUAGAAAUUCUGAAUAAUUAUUCAAGUGUGCCUAUUCUUUUCUUUCUCUUGUAUUUGACAAAUGUGACUGUAUCUACUUGCAAAUAUAAAUAUAAAAUAUUUCAUUAUAAUUAACAACCCCCCCAGCAUUUAUAUGAGUUAUAUGUACUAAUGUGUGGAUGUCUAAAUACAAUAGACUCUUAAUUAAUUAGACAAUGACAACCAAACACAAGACAUUCGUAGCAGGAAAAAAAUUCCAAGAUAAUUUGAACAUAUAUAUUAAUAUUGAAAAAAUACAAACUGCAAAAAACACAAGUUAAA